RNAcentral lists this ribosomal RNA (274 nucleotides) under uncultured Planococcus sp. RNAcentral's name for it is "partial 16S ribosomal RNA". It matches the Rfam family "Bacterial small subunit ribosomal RNA", at positions 742 to 990 of the family's 1533-position model. Lineage: Bacteria; Bacillati; Bacillota; Bacilli; Caryophanales; Caryophanaceae. The record is from RNAcentral.
GACGCUGAGGCGACGAAAGCGGUGGGGAGACAAACAGGAUUAGACUACCCUGGUAGUCCACGACCGUAAACGAUGAGUGACUAAGUGGUUUAGGGGGUUUCCCGUCCCCUUUAGGUGCUGCAGACUAACCGCUAAUUAAGCACUCCCGCCGGUGGGGAGGUACCGGCCGACGAAGGCUAGAACUACGAAAGUAUUGGACGGGGCCCGCACAAGCGGUGGAGCAUGUGGUUUAAUUCGAAGCAACGCGAAGAACCUUACCAGGUCUUGACAUCCC